This 504-nucleotide ribosomal RNA is filed under the name uncultured organism. RNAcentral's name for it is "SSU rRNA". It matches the Rfam family "Bacterial small subunit ribosomal RNA", at positions 8 to 509 of the family's 1533-position model. The record is from RNAcentral.
AGAGUUUGAUCCUGGCUCAGGACGAACGCUGGCGGCGUGCCUAACACAUGCAAGUCGAACGGAACUCUUUGGAUCGAGACUUCGGUCAAGUGAAACUGAGUUUAGUGGCGGACGGGUGAGUAACGCGUGAGGAACCUGCCUCGGAGUGGGGGACAACAGUUGGAAACGACUGCUAAUACCGCAUAAUGUUCCGGAGGGACAUCCCUUUGGAACCAAAGCUUUAUGUGCUCUGAGAUGGCCUCGCGUCUGAUUAGGUAGUUGGCGGGGUAACGGCCCACCAAGCCGACGAUCAGUAGCCGGACUGAGAGGUUGAACGGCCACAUUGGGACUGAGAUACGGCCCAGACUCCUACGGGAGGCAGCAGUGGGGAAUAUUGGGCAAUGGGGGCAACCCUGACCCAGCAACGCCGCGUGAAGGAAGAAGGCUUUCGGGUUGUAAACUUCUUUUACCAGGGACGAAGGACGUGACGGUACCUGGAGAAAAAGCCACGGCUAACUACGUGCC